UACGGAGGAUGCAAGCGUUAUCCGGAAUGAUUGGGCGUAAAGCGUCCGCAGGCGGCUAUGUAAGUCUGCUGUUAAAGAGUGAGGCUCAACCUCAUAAGAGCAGUGGAAACUACAUGGCUAGAGUGCGUUCGGGGCAGAGGGAAUUCCUGGUGUAGCGGUGAAAUGCGUAGAUAUCAGGAAGAACACCGGUGGCGAAAGCGCUCUGCUAGGCCGCAACUGACACUCAUGGACGAAAGCUAGGGGAGCGAAUGGG
Molecule: ribosomal RNA, 253 nt
Filed under: uncultured bacterium
Lineage: Bacteria
Description: partial 16S ribosomal RNA
Rfam family: Bacterial small subunit ribosomal RNA
Source: RNAcentral